This is a long non-coding RNA of Cydia pomonella (codling moth), 1376 nucleotides long. RefSeq lists it as uncharacterized. NCBI's taxonomy places the organism in Eukaryota, Metazoa, Arthropoda, Insecta, Lepidoptera, Tortricidae. The record is from RefSeq and is a predicted model, not a curated record. The transcript is spliced from 2 exons.
CGAUUAUCGAUUGGACGUAGUUAAAGGAAAAGGAUCCAAUCCACAAAAAUACCAAAACAUGAGUUAAGUAUACCAGGCAGGCCUUUAAUGUGUAUAUUUUCAUUCAGCAAAAAAGCACUGAGCUCACAUAGCGUUUUCAUAUUUUAAUCGACAUCGGAUACCAUCCCCCAUGUAUGAAAGAUUAAAAAUGAUAUUCACCAAUAAGUAUUCAAUACUCUUGGUACCUUGUUGUAAAAUUAGGUUAGUGACAGGACUGGUUUAUAUAAAUUUCAACAAGAAAAAUCCAAAUUGCUUGGAAUCUUUUUGAGAAAAUGCAAUGAAUACUUUUCGUCCUAAAUAUAUAUCAACAAAACUGAUCCAACCCAUUUGGAUCGUUUUUAAGAAACUAAUUUGACGAUGUGUAAAUACUUUAGCUAAACAACAAAAACGAUUCAGCAAACUUGGAUCACAUUUGUGGAAUUCUUGUUAUUCCAGCAUUGGUGUAUCAGUAAACAACAAAAACGAUUCAUGUUAAAUAUAUUAACUUUAGGCUGACUUUUUAAAUUUAAACAACUUUAUACUUAACCUAAAAGGCAGUUUUACUGCUAUGUUAGGCUAAUUUUGAAUUUUUUACUAUAUAUGUCGACUUGGAUCGUAAUUCAUAAACAAACUAAAUAGACGAGGAAAAAUAACAGAAAUCAUUCAAACUGUUUGAAUCAUUUUUGCAGGUUUAAAUUAACUUGUUCUUAUAUUCAGCGUCAAACAUCAAAGUCGAUUUAAGUUACUUGGAUCUUUUUUGAUCAUUUACUCCAGGUAUAGUUUCAUAGUGGCAAAUUAAUCAACGGAAAAGAUCCAGUUUACAUGAAUACGUUAUAGGGAUUUUUUUUAAUUUAAAAUGGCAAUAUAAUGCUAAAUUUUAAUAACGAUCCAUGUUAAUUAUAUUGUUCAUAAAAAAAUUUGCUUUUAGUAUUAAUUUCGUUUAUACGUUGCUGGUAUUAAUAAUGUUAUAGUAAUUAUAAUUUUGAAACUUUGCCUAUCAUUUUUGUAACUUAAAAAACUGAUUUUGCUAUUGCGUCAUGCUGUGCAUUGUCGCGAAAGAGAGGCCUGUGGAUUUGUAACGACAAAAAUGGUGAGUAAAAGCUAUUUUGGUUGAGUCCAUCAAAACUUCUUCCGACUUACAAGAUAAAUUAUUAAAGUUCUGUUCUAAUAUGACUGUGUAUGUUAUUAUUUAGCUGAGAAUAGCGAUCCUAAAUUUUUUGCAAGGAAGGCAUGCUAUGACAAGAAUGAAAAAAAUGACGAAAAUAGGCAUAAAACGGGACUGGCGGGACCUUGCUCAGCACAGGGAGGAUUGGAAAGCUAGAGGGGAGGCCUUUGCCCAGCAGUGGGACACACAAAUA